CCCACACCCAUGUGUGUAGGACCCCAAAGGAUCACCAUCAAAUUUGGCACAGAUCUCUAGAAAAGUUAUCACAUGGGUGUGGAACUUGACUUUUCUAGAUAUCUGUGCCAAAUUUAAUGGUAAUCUUUUAGGGUCCUACACACAUGGGUGCGAG
Molecule: non-coding RNA, 154 nt
Organism: Amborella trichopoda
Lineage: Eukaryota; Viridiplantae; Streptophyta; Magnoliopsida; Amborellales; Amborellaceae
Source: Rfam